GGCUGAAAUUCGCCUUUAUGAAGCCGGAAUUGCUAGUAAUGGCAGGUCAGCAUACUGCCGUGAAUACGUUCCCGGGCCCUUGUACACACCGCCCGUCACACCAUGAGAGUUGGGAGUACCCGAAGCCUGUGAGCUAACUUUUAGAGGCAGCAGUCGAAGGUAGAAUCAAUGAUUGGGGUGAAGUCGUAACAAGGUAUC
RNAcentral lists this ribosomal RNA (198 nucleotides) under uncultured bacterium. RNAcentral describes it as "partial 16S ribosomal RNA". It matches the Rfam family "Bacterial small subunit ribosomal RNA", at positions 1303 to 1500 of the family's 1533-position model. The record is from RNAcentral.